UGCAUUUUUUUUUCAAUGUCAGCUGCUAAAAUUAGGUUGACUAUAAGACAUGUCAAUCCAUCAUUUAGUAGCAUGGUUUUCUUUUUUAACUUUUUAUUAAUUCUUUGUGAGUUUCAUAUCAUGCGCCCUAGUCCCACUCAUCUUCCUGUCCCCUCAUAGCUGACCUUUGCCCUUACUACCUCCCCACAAGAUAAACCACACAUGCACAAACAAAAGUCAUCUCAUGGUGGAAGCUGUAGUAUGUCUCGGUGUGUAUAUCCCCCUGAAUAUUCCUCUGUCUGUACAUCUUCACUUGCAGAUGUUCAUUGCAGUGAGUCACUGGUCUGGUUUGAGAUCUCUGGCUUCUGUGAUACAGUCAAUAUUGAAUUCCUACUGGGCCUCCUCCCAGUUAUCCUGUUGUCGUCCUGUGUCAUGGAGAUCCUGCAGCUUUGGAUCAGGUGGACUGGUUCUUUCACUUGUCCCAGCUGUUUGCAGAUGAUAUAGAUUUUGAGGUAGGCCAAUUCAAAGCCAUGGAUCUGGGCCUGGGUAGUAGCUGAGCUGGUCAGCCCACUGGCUUUCUUAUCUGAGCUGCCAGGGUGAGCUCUCUAACACUGUAUCAUCAGUAGGAGCCAGGGUCUGCUCUCCAGCUCUCAUACUCUUGGGGCCAGCUCAGCUCUACCCACACCUCCAGAGCCAGCUCACAGUCAAGGUACAGGGCUCACUCUCCGAGUGCUGCAAUCUGGUAGGGCCUGGGCCAGCUCUCCCACCCCCACACCUCAGGACUGGCUUACCCAUGCAUUUGUCAUCAGGGCCAGCUCCACUAUUGUCCAGGGUAGGUCCAGGGCUAGCUUUCCCAGCUACCACUGGUGGUGAGUGGGGAGAGGGGGACAUCACCCCUGUACCCAAGCCACCUUACAGCAGAUAAAUGGCAGGGCCAGCUUUCCUGUGUUCUUGUUCUCAGGUCUGGCUCACCUGCAUGCCCUCCACCGGGACCAGGGCCAGCUCUCCCAAGGCUGCUGCUGGUGAGAGGUGGAACCAGCUCUCCAGAGUAUGGCAGCCAGUGAAGGACAGGGCCAGUUCUGUCUAGCCUCUGGACAUCCAUCUGGUCCCUGAUUGCUGUUCCUACCAGGAAUGUCCCCAUGUUCUCUAGUAGUAACAUGAGACACUGGACACCAACCCCUGCCACUGCAUAACCACAGACCUAGACAUGGCCCUCAGCAGCAGUUUGGACUCGGACCUCAAUCAUAGCCCCAGGCAGCAGGGCUAGCCACUUACAACAGGCUACUUCUUUCCACCCUUGAGACUAGUUGCAUCUACCUCUCUUCAUAAUGCUCAAACUGUCCACGUUUUUUUUUCUCUCCCAUCUGUCUACCACAUACUUGCAUAUUGUGGUUGCUCCUGGUGUAGGCUGGCCCUGCAGGUGUCCGGCCCCUGGGUGACAUACUUUGUCUGCACUGUAUGAUGUGGCUGCAAAUAGGUGGCUACAGCCUGCCUAUGCGGUGCCUAGGAGAACAGGUCUGUGGUUGGCAGAUCUCUGUCUUCCUUCUCCCAGGCUGUUCUGGGUGAUGGCAUAAACCAUCUUUGGCCAUCAAGCUAGGAUGAACAAAGGACUGCCAUCUGCUCUGCCUCUGACCUAUAUAAGAACACCACCACCACCAAGUUGUCUCUUUGCCAUUGCCAGAGGGGGCUACAUCCAUUUUUUUUUCAAUCCUAAUAGCUUGGUUUUAGAGUGUCUGCAUAGAGAAUCAUCAUUAAUUUUUUGUUUAGGUUUCUUUUUGUUUUUUUGUUUUGUUUUGUUUUGUUUUUGUAU
Molecule: long non-coding RNA, 1789 nt
Organism: Mastomys coucha (southern multimammate mouse)
Lineage: Eukaryota; Metazoa; Chordata; Mammalia; Rodentia; Muridae
Exons: 2
Source: RefSeq, a predicted model, not a curated record